AGGGAAACCGAGUCUUAACUGGGCGUUAAGUUGCAGGGUAUAGACCCGAAACCCGGUGAUCUAGCCAUGGGCAGGUUGAAGGUUGGGUAACACUAACUGGAGGACCGAACCGACUAAUGUUGAAAAAUUAGCGGAUGACUUGUGGCUGGGGGUGAAAGGCCAAUCAAACCGGGAGAUAGCUGGUUCUCCCCGAAAGCUAUUUAGGUAGCGCCUCGUGAACUCAUCUUCGGGGGUAGAGCACUGUUUCGGCUAGGGGGUCAUCCCGACUUACCAACCCGAUGCAAACUGCGAAUACCGAAGAAUGUUAUCACGGGAGACACACGGCGGGUGCUAACGUCCGUCGUGAAGAGGGAAACAACCCAGACCGCCAGCUAAGGUCCCAAAGUCACAGUUAAGUGGGAAACGAUGUGGGAAGGCUCAGACAGCCAGGAUGUUGGCUUAGAAGCAGCCAUCAUUUAAAGAAAGCGUAAUAGCUCACUGGUCGAGUCGGCCUGCGCGGAAGAUGUAACGGGGCUAAACUGUGCACCGAAGCUGCGGCAGCGACGCUUAUGCGUUGUUGGGUAGGGGAGCGUUCUGUAAGCCUGCGAAGGUGU
Molecule: ribosomal RNA, 593 nt
Filed under: Salmonella enterica subsp. enterica serovar Kentucky
Lineage: Bacteria; Pseudomonadati; Pseudomonadota; Gammaproteobacteria; Enterobacterales; Enterobacteriaceae
Description: partial 23S ribosomal RNA
Rfam family: Bacterial large subunit ribosomal RNA
Source: RNAcentral